GAGCUAUCAAUCUGUCAAUCCUUUAAUUGUCCUGGCCUGGUAAGUUUCCCCGUGUUGAGUCAAAUUAAGCCACAGGCUCCACGCCUGGUGGUGCCACUCCGUCAAUUACUUUAAGUUUCAGCUUUGCAACCAUACUACCCCCGGAACCCAAAUACUUUAGUUUUCCGAAAGCUGCCUUGUUCGUUUAAAUUAAACGAUACAAGAUUGUUGGUUGGCAUCGUUUAUGGUUAGAACUAGGGCGGUAUCUAAUCGCCUUCGAACCUCUAACUUUCGUUCUAGAUUAAUGAAAACAUACUUGGCAAAUGCUUUCGCGCUAGUUUGUCUUUGAAAGAUCAUAGAAUUUCACCUCUCACUUUCAAAUACAAAUGCCUCCGACAAUCCCUUUUAAUCAUUACCACGGCUAAUCACCAUCUUUAUUAGCUUAGGUCAUAUUUUGCUAUACUAUGCACAAAUAUACAAGCAAUAUGCUUGUUUUAAGCACUCUGAUUUUAUCAGAGUAGCUACAAGGCAUCCGUUAAGCUUAUUUGACAAUUAAGUCAAGUAAACCGAAUACCUUAAAACGCGCUAAUAACUGCAAAUGGGUUUCCCCAGAUCCAGUUUUACCCUUCACUUUCAACCACGAGCUUUUUAACCGCAACAACAUUAAUAUACGCUAUUGGAGCUGGAAU
This 668-nucleotide ribosomal RNA is filed under the name uncultured metazoan. RNAcentral describes it as "partial 18S ribosomal RNA". The record is from RNAcentral. Lineage: Eukaryota; Metazoa.